RNAcentral lists this ribosomal RNA (2900 nucleotides) under Klebsiella pneumoniae. RNAcentral's name for it is "bacterial LSU rRNA". It matches the Rfam family "Bacterial large subunit ribosomal RNA". Lineage: Bacteria; Pseudomonadati; Pseudomonadota; Gammaproteobacteria; Enterobacterales; Enterobacteriaceae. The record is from RNAcentral.
UUAAGCGACUAAGCGUACACGGUGGAUGCCCUGGCAGUCAGAGGCGAUGAAGGACGUGCUAAUCUGCGAAAAGCGUCGGUAAGGUGAUAUGAACCGUUAUAACCGGCGAUGUCCGAAUGGGGAAACCCAGUGUGAUUCGUCACACUAUCGUUAACUGAAUACAUAGGUUAACGAGGCGAACCGGGGGAACUGAAACAUCUAAGUACCCCGAGGAAAAGAAAUCAACCGAGAUUCCCCCAGUAGCGGCGAGCGAACGGGGAGCAGCCCAGAGUCUGAAUCAGCUUGUGUGUUAGUGGAACGGUCUGGAAAGUCCGACGGUACAGGGUGAUAGUCCCGUACACCAAAAUGCACAGGCUGUGAACUCGAAGAGUAGGGCGGGACACGUGGUAUCCUGUCUGAAUAUGGGGGGACCAUCCUCCAAGGCUAAAUACUCCUGACUGACCGAUAGUGAACCAGUACCGUGAGGGAAAGGCGAAAAGAACCCCGGCGAGGGGAGUGAAAAAGAACCUGAAACCGUGUACGUACAAGCAGUGGGAGCACCUUCGGGUGUGACUGCGUACCUUUUGUAUAAUGGGUCAGCGACUUAUAUUCUGUAGCAAGGUUAACCGUAUAGGGGAGCCGCAGGGAAACCGAGUCUUAACUGGGCGUUAAGUUGCAGGGUAUAGACCCGAAACCCGGUGAUCUAGCCAUGGGCAGGUUGAAGGUUGGGUAACACUAACUGGAGGACCGAACCGACUAAUGUUGAAAAAUUAGCGGAUGACUUGUGGCUGGGGGUGAAAGGCCAAUCAAACCGGGAGAUAGCUGGUUCUCCCCGAAAGCUAUUUAGGUAGCGCCUCGUGAAUUCAUCUUCGGGGGUAGAGCACUGUUUCGGCUAGGGGGUCAUCCCGACUUACCAACCCGAUGCAAACUACGAAUACCGAAGAAUGUUAUCACGGGAGACACACGGCGGGUGCUAACGUCCGUCGUGAAGAGGGAAACAACCCAGACCGCCAGCUAAGGUCCCAAAGUCAUGGUUAAGUGGGAAACGAUGUGGGAAGGCACAGACAGCCAGGAUGUUGGCUUAGAAGCAGCCAUCAUUUAAAGAAAGCGUAAUAGCUCACUGGUCGAGUCGGCCUGCGCGGAAGAUGUAACGGGGCUAAACCAUGCACCGAAGCUGCGGCAGCGACACUAUGUGUUGUUGGGUAGGGGAGCGUUCUGUAAGCCUGCGAAGGUGACCUGUGAGGGUUGCUGGAGGUAUCAGAAGUGCGAAUGCUGACAUAAGUAACGAUAAAGCGGGUGAAAAGCCCGCUCGCCGGAAGACCAAGGGUUCCUGUCCAACGUUAAUCGGGGCAGGGUGAGUCGACCCCUAAGGCGAGGCCGAAAGGCGUAGUCGAUGGGAAACAGGUUAAUAUUCCUGUACUUGGUGUUACUGCGAAGGGGGGACGGAGAAGGCUAUGUUAGCCGGGCGACGGUUGUCCCGGUUUAAGCAUGUAGGCUGAUUGUCCAGGCAAAUCCGGAUAAUCAAGGCUGAGGUGUGAUGACGAGGCACUACGGUGCUGAAGUAACAAAUGCCCUGCUUCCAGGAAAAGCCUCUAAGCAUCAGGUAACAUUAAAUCGUACCCCAAACCGACACAGGUGGUCAGGUAGAGAAUACCAAGGCGCUUGAGAGAACUCGGGUGAAGGAACUAGGCAAAAUGGUGCCGUAACUUCGGGAGAAGGCACGCUGGUGUGUAGGUGAAGCCCCUGCGGGUGGAGCUGAGACCAGUCGAAGAUACCAGCUGGCUGCAACUGUUUAUUAAAAACACAGCACUGUGCAAACACGAAAGUGGACGUAUACGGUGUGACGCCUGCCCGGUGCCGGAAGGUUAAUUGAUGGGGUUAUCCGUAAGGAGAAGCUCUUGAUCGAAGCCCCGGUAAACGGCGGCCGUAACUAUAACGGUCCUAAGGUAGCGAAAUUCCUUGUCGGGUAAGUUCCGACCUGCACGAAUGGCGUAAUGAUGGCCAGGCUGUCUCCACCCGAGACUCAGUGAAAUUGAACUCGCUGUGAAGAUGCAGUGUACCCGCGGCAAGACGGAAAGACCCCGUGAACCUUUACUAUAGCUUGACACUGAACAUUGAGCCUUGAUGUGUAGGAUAGGUGGGAGGCUUUGAAGCGUGGACGCCAGUCUGCGUGGAGCCAACCUUGAAAUACCACCCUUUAAUGUUUGAUGUUCUAACGUUGGCCCCUUACCGGGGUUGCGGACAGUGUCUGGUGGGUAGUUUGACUGGGGCGGUCUCCUCCCAAAGCGUAACGGAGGAGCACGAAGGUUAGCUAAUCCUGGUCGGACAUCAGGAGGUUAGUGCAAUGGCAUAAGCUAGCUUGACUGCGAGCGUGACGGCGCGAGCAGGUGCGAAAGCAGGUCAUAGUGAUCCGGUGGUUCUGAAUGGAAGGGCCAUCGCUCAACGGAUAAAAGGUACUCCGGGGAUAACAGGCUGAUACCGCCCAAGAGUUCAUAUCGACGGCGGUGUUUGGCACCUCGAUGUCGGCUCAUCACAUCCUGGGGCUGAAGUAGGUCCCAAGGGUAUGGCUGUUCGCCAUUUAAAGUGGUACGCGAGCUGGGUUUAGAACGUCGUGAGACAGUUCGGUCCCUAUCUGCCGUGGGCGCUGGAGAAUUGAGGGGGGCUGCUCCUAGUACGAGAGGACCGGAGUGGACGCAUCACUGGUGUUCGGGUUGUCAUGCCAAUGGCACUGCCCGGUAGCUAAAUGCGGAAGAGAUAAGUGCUGAAAGCAUCUAAGCACGAAACUUGCCCCGAGAUGAGUUCUCCCUGAGACUUUAAGUCUCCUGAAGGAACGUUAAAGACGAUGACGUUGAUAGGCCGGGUGUGUAAGCGCAGCGAUGCGUUGAGCUAACCGGUACUAAUGAACCGUGAGGCUUAACCUU